Long non-coding RNA from Gossypium raimondii (Peruvian cotton), 5321 nucleotides. RefSeq lists it as uncharacterized. The transcript has 2 exons. NCBI's taxonomy places the organism in Eukaryota, Viridiplantae, Streptophyta, Magnoliopsida, Malvales, Malvaceae. The record is from RefSeq and is a predicted model, not a curated record.
UAUAUCUAUAUACAAAUCAAUUGAGCAAUGUAUAUCUAUAAACAAUUCAAAUUCGACAAUGUAUAUCUAUAAACAAAUCAAUUUCGUCAAUGUAUAUCUAUAAAGAAAUCAAAUUCAGCAAUGUAUAUCUUUAUACAAAUCAAUUCGGCAAUGUAUAAAACAUAUACAUUUAAAUUCAAAAACAUUUAUUUACUUAUGAACUUACCUCGUACUCGGAAUUGACGAAUCUGAUCGAUUACUCGAUAAUUUUGCCUUUCCCGUGAUCUAAUUUUGGAUUCCUCUUUUCUUGAGUGUUAUGUAUUCAAAAUUAACUCAUUUAAUCAUAUAAUCAUUCAAUUCAGUCCAAAAGCACAUAUUUAAGCCAAUUUACACUUUGGCCCUAAACUUUCACAUUUCUUACAAUUUAGUCCCUAUUUCACAAAUACACAAAAUUCAUAAAAUUCAACAAGACCCAUGCUUGAUCGAAUUACCAUAGUGCCCCUAGUAGCCCAUAUUUCACACUUAUUCACACUUUUAACCCCACAUUUUCAUCUUUUCACAAUUUAAUCCCUAACUUGCAUUUUCAUCAAAAAAAUAACUUUAUAAAAUAUGAAAAUCUAACAUCAAAUAUUCAUAUUUCACCAUUAAAAAUCAAAGAACACAUAAGCUUAUCAAUGUCAACUAUCAAAAUCUUUAACAGUUUUGAAAUUGAAGACACGGGCUAGCUAGUACUAGUUGUAAUGAUCUCAAAAACAUAGAAAUCAUUAAAAAUCGAGUAAAAAUGCACUUACAUGCACUAGAAAUGUUGGCUGAAUGCUUUAAGCCCUAACUAUGGCUUCCUAACCUUCAAAUUUCGGUAGUGUUUAGCUUUUGGGAAUAUGAUACUUUAAUUUUACUUAUUUUAAUUUUAAGUUGUUUGGUUAUUUACUAAUUUAACCUUAACAUAUAACCUUUAUAAUUUCAUUUUACUGGCCAUAAAAGUCCACUAGCAAUUUGUAUGGUCUAAUUGCAACAUAAAACUCUCAACCAUUUAAUCACAUUGUCAUUUAAUAUCUUUAACUAAUAGAACUUAAGUUUUGCACUUUACGCGAUUUAGUCCUUUUUAUUGAAUUAAGCAUGCAAAGGAUAAAGGCGGAGGUUUUUGGGUGUUUGGAAGGGUUUGAGUUUGAGGAAGUCCCUACCCAUCUUCUCAUAUAUUAUUUAUUUAUUUAUUUAUUUAUUUAAAGUAUAUAUUUUUACAUCCUAUCAACUCUUAUUUUUUGUGGGAAAUCUUGUGUGUUACAUGGUUAUUAGUUAAAGAGAGUGGUGAAUCUUCUAAAUUUAAAGGUAAAGGCAAAGUGGUGGAGAGCUAGGCAACAAACUUUGUUGGCGUUCUUCCAUCAAGGUGGUACCCUCUAACUCUCCUAUACUUCUUGAUAAGUCAUAAAUAUGAUGCCUGUGUAAUAAUGCAUACAUGUUAUAUGUCUUUGGGUGGAAAUCUUGUUUGGAUGAUUUAAAAUGAAGCUAAAAACUUAGUUGUGAAAUUUGCUAGAAACAAAUCAUUACAUGAACAGUAUGUUUGAAAAUUCACCAUAAAUUUUGAAAAAAUAAUUAAGAAGUGAUCUACACAUCGUUGUAACCGUGAGUCAUUCUAGUUUCGUUUAGAAUAAACGGAGAUCAAUUUUGAUUUUUAUUUUAAAAGAUAUGAAUUUUUGAGUGUUGAAAGAUCAUAAAAAUAUGGCAGCAGAAUUCUUAUAAAACAGAUUUAGCAGUGACUUUGAAAACUCACCAAAAAUUUCACAAGAUAAAAUAAGAAGUGAUCCUUAUAUCUUUUUAACCGUACAGAAGUAUAGUUUCGUUUAAACCAAAAGGUGCUCAAUUUAGAGUUAUAUAUUAAGAGUUAUUAAUUUUUGAAUGAGAAAAUGUCAGAAUGUCAAGGUAGCAGACUGUCACAUCUCAUUAGUUAAUAUUUUAUUUUGAACGAUAAGCAAGUUGAAAUGAGUAUGAGACUCGAAUGUCAUGGUUGUAUUUUUGUGAUUAUAUGUUUGAUGCUUUGUUUGCACUCAACCUUCAGGCUCUAACCUAACUAGCGGCCAUGAGUGGCCUUCGGGAUAGCCCUACAGACACCUGUGAUUAUUUGACUAGCGGUCAUGGGUGGUGAGAGACUACUUGAAUACUCGAUUAUUUGAGCAGUAUGUGCAAUCUAACAAGUUUGACAAGUUUGAUAUGCAAGCGAUUUGGUUAUGUAGAUUUAAUGACUCAUGAUUUAAUUAUUCGAUACUCAUGUCAUGUUUUUAUGUAUACAUUUGAUUUGCAUGCUUAUAUUUAUGAAUUGCUUGAAGUAUGGUAGAUUUGUUGUGUACCACUGAGCCUGUAAAGCUCAGCUUUCGAAUUUUCUUAUUGUUCAGAUUUGUAAACUUUUGUUCAUGUCCGAGGAACAUCAUCGACGAGAGACUCCUAGUAUCACGUUUUCAGAAUUCAAUAUGCCCGACGAUUCAAAUUGUAGCCAUGAGGUUAGGGAGAAGAGUCAUGCUUCUCCGAUGGAUGAUACGGGAGAUGAGUUUGUCCCAAAAAUUGACGACUUUGACAUUCCAAUGGUUCCGGACGUGGAUGGGUAGCUUACUUCCAGAAUCUUAAUUUUUCUCUACAUCGUAUCCUUCGAGCAAUUUCGAGGGUUCAGCCUACCCCACCAGCUUCACCACCAUUUGUUGUUCCGCAGGAGACUCCGAUAGAGAGAUUUCAUAGAUGUAAGGCGGAGGACUUUUAUAGCACCAGCGAGGAUGACCCGAUAGUUGUUGGUUAGUGGUUGAGGGACACACUAAGGACUUUGAGGCCACUCCAUUUUACCCCUGAGGGUAACUUAGAGUGAUGCAUGUGAUUUGUGGGAGACGGUCGAGAUGGCUUUACAGCCAGAGCAGCCAACGUGGGAUCAAUUGUUGUCCGAGCUGAGGGAAGCACAUUGGUCAGGCACAUAUGGAUGACUUGAAGAUGCAGUUUUCACAGCUAGUCCAGGGCAACCGAUUAGUGUAUGAGUACGAUAGGGACUUUCUGUGAUUGAGUCACUUCGCAGUGGCUUCUGAGAGUCUUAGAUGCAAGAGAUUUCGUGAGGGGCUGCACAUUGAUAUUCACAGUUAUUUGGCAGCAGACCUGCUCGAGGGAUUUUUAGAAUUGGUACGACAAGCUAAAGCUGUAGAGAAGGUUCUAAGUAUGAGAUUGAGCUCGACAGAUGAGUCUAGUAUCCAGAGUAAGAGGGCUUCUAACACUCCGAGUCUGUCUCAGAUAGCAACCAAGAGGAUUCGUGAUUCUAGAGGAUUCAAGAGAGCUCCAUCGACACAGUUUCACAGGUCAGGUCAAGGGUCAAGACUAGGGGCUCGUAGGAGACCAUUAGCUUCCUCGUCGCUAGCGAGUUUAGGAGGGCCAGUCAGGACCCUGAUUUUUCUAGUUUGUAAUUUUUGUGGUCGGAGACAUCUCGGGGAGUGUUAUCGGAGGACUAGAGCCUGUUUUCAGUAUGGGUCCACCAAGCAUUUUGUCAGAGAUUGCCUUAGAGUUAGCAAUGCUUCGCCUGCUCAGACUUAGAGAUCAACACCUUCUUUUGAACGUGGUAGAGGGUCAACUCAUGGUGGUGAUAAUGUACCUUCAGGCCAGCAGAGUAGAGGCACGGUCAAAUCCGCAAUAGUAUCUGAUAUUCGAGUUCCAUUUAGGCAGUGUGAAUUGACUUCUGAUUCAGAAUUUCAGAUUAGACCUAAUGACUGCCUAUUAUUCAGAGGCAGGGUUUGUGUUCCAAAGAAUUCGGAGCUUGUACAGAAGAUUUUGAACGAAGCUCACAGUGGUACUAUGUUUGUGCAUGCAGGGAGUAAUAAAAUGUAUAAUGAUCUGAAACAGAUGUACUGGUGGCUGGGAAUGAAACAUGACAUUUCUGACUUUGUAUUUAGAUGUUUGGUAUGUCAACAAGUUAAAGCUGAACAUCAGGUUCCUUCAACAUUAUGACAACCAGUCACGAUAUCAGAAUGAAAAUGGUAAAGAAUUACUAUGGACUUUGUAUCGGGAUUGCCUCUAUCUCUGAGAAAGAAAGAUGCCAUUUAGGUAAUCGUUGAUCGUUUGACAAAGUCUACACACUUUAUUUCGGUACGUAUGAAUUUUCCCUGGAUAGAUUAACAAAACUAUAUGCUUCUGAGAUUGUCAGAUUACAUGGUGUGCUAGUUUUUAGUAUUUUUGAUAGAGAUCCUCGAUUUACAUCCGAUUCUAGAGCAAGUUACAAGAAGCUCUGGGUUCACGGUUGCAUAUUACUACCGCAUUUCAUCCGCAGACAGAUGGUCAAUCCAAAUGCAUAAUCCAAAUUCUUGAAGAUAUGCUUCGGUGUUGUGUACUAGAAUUCGAAGGCAAUUGGGAAAAAUAUCUACCGUUAGUUGAAUUCGCAUAUAAUAACAGUUAUCAGUCAAGUAAUAAAAUAGUACCGUAUGAAGCUUUGUAUGGUCGUAAAUGUAGAACUCCGUUGUAUUGGACUGAGCUCAAUGAGAAAAAGAUACAUGGAAUUGAUCAAAUCCGUGAGACUGAAGAAAAAGUGAAAGUGAUCAGAGACAGUUUGAAAGCAGCUUCUAAGUGUCAGAAAUCCUAUGUGAAUUUAAAACUUAAAGAAAUAGAGUUCCAAGUUGGUGACAAAGUAUUUCUGAAAGUUUCACCUUUGAAGAAAGUUUUCGGUUUGGCCAUAAAGGAAAAUUUAGUCCACGAUUUAUCAGGCCAUAUGAGAUCAUUGAAAGAAUCAGACCUGUUGCAUACUGAUUGGCAUUACCACCAGAACUUGACAGAAUUCAUAAUUUUUUUCAUGUGUCCAUGUUAUGGCGAUAUCAGUCAGAUCCUUCACAUAUUAUCUCUCCGACAGAGGUUGAGAUUCAGCCUGAUAUGACUUACAACGAGGAACCAGUUAGAAUUUUGGACGUGAGACUAAGGAAUUAAGAAAUAAAAAGAUAACUCUAGUAAAAGUUCUUUGGCAACGACACGGUAUAGAAGAAGCUACCUGGGAACUGGAGGAAACUAUGAGAAAGCAAUAGUUGAACCUCUUUACUGGUAAUAUUUUCAAGGACGAAAAUUCUUAAGGGGGAGAGUUGUAACAGCCCGUUUUCAAUGAAAUCAGAACAGUGUUUCGGGACCACAAAUCCGAGUCCGAAAGAAAAUUUAUUUUAAUAUUAUUUUAUGAUCUACAUUAUGAUUGAAAUAUUUCAUGAAAAUUUUGUAAAUAAAUUUUACUGAUUUUAUAUCUAAUCCGAUAAAAAGGACCAAAUUGAAUAAAAUACAAAAGUUGAGUUCUACUAGCUAAAAGUAUCAAAUAGCUAUGGAAUUCAAAAUUUGAGGUCCUUAUAUGGAAA